UACAGAGGUGCCGAGCGUUAGGCGGAAUCACUGGGCUUAAAGCGUGUGUAGGCGGGCCCGUAAGUGUCUUGUGAAAUCCCACGGCUCAACCGUGGAACUGCUGGGCAUACUGCGGGUCUUGAGCGGCCUAGGGGCAGACGGAACAAGUGGUGGAGCGGUGAAAUGCGUAGAUAUCAGGAAGAACACCCGUGGCGAAAGCGGCUCUCUGGAACGGUACUGACGCUGAGACGCGAAAGCGUGGGGAGCGAACAGG
Molecule: ribosomal RNA, 253 nt
Filed under: uncultured bacterium
Lineage: Bacteria
Description: partial 16S ribosomal RNA
Rfam family: Bacterial small subunit ribosomal RNA
Source: RNAcentral